RNAcentral lists this ribosomal RNA (558 nucleotides) under Entamoeba bovis. Its description in RNAcentral is "partial small subunit ribosomal RNA". It matches the Rfam family "Eukaryotic small subunit ribosomal RNA", at positions 1 to 575 of the family's 1831-position model. The record is from RNAcentral. Lineage: Eukaryota; Evosea; Mastigamoebida; Endamoebidae.
UUGUUGUCCUGGCCAGUAUUAUAUGCGGAUGUUAAGAAUUAACCACGCCAUGGUUAAGUUUAAAGCCCAAGUAGGAUGAAACUGCGGCCGGUUCAUUAUACCAGUAAUAGUUUUUUGGGUUAGUCGGUCCAAGGAUAACUUUGUGAAUGAUAAAGUUAAUACUUGAGCCGAUCCGGGAAGUAUUUUACUUUCCGGCCCUCGGCCGCGAGUUUGGGGAAAAACGACAUUUUUUUGUGAAAAAGGAUGCCGCGACAAUUGAGGAAAGCGACGCUUUUGACAAGUAACCAAUGGGAAUUUCUGAUCUAUCAAUUUGUUGGUAGUAUCGAGGACUACCAAGAUUAUAACGGAUAACGAGGAAUUGGGGUUCGACAUCGGAGAGGGAGCUUUACAGAUGGCUACCACUUCUAAGGAAGGCAGCAGGCGCGUAAAUUACCCACUUUCGACCCGAAGAGGUAGUGACGACAAAUAACUCUUGGCGCCCCUCGGGGUGACUUGAAGGAAUGAUUUAGAAGCUAAAUUCUCUAAAGAAAUCAAUGGAGGCAAAUCUGCCCCCCCCCC